UGAAAUAGCUUCAAAAUUAAGUGAUUUUUUGAAAUUUUGAGAUUCAAAAAAAGUUUCCAUAAAAUGAUGAAAUACCUAAAAUAACAUUUUAAGAAUAACUAUUCAAACCAAAUUUUCAUUUGAAACUUUUAUAAAAAAUUUCUUUGUAAUUUUUUUUUAUACUAAAAUAUUUAACACUAUAAAAAUCAUUUCUAAAAAAAGCCAAAACAAACGGGCCCUAAGUCUGAUGAGAAUGGGUCAAGGAUACACUUAUAUUGAAGGGUUUGAUUGCAAUGAUACCUUUGCUUUUGUUGUGGUCUUGAAGCUAUUAUUCUCUUGUUUCCUUCAGUUAAAACUUUUCCAACUGGAUGUUAAAAGUUCCUUCCACAAUGGAUACUUGAAUGAGGAAGUGUAUGUUGAGCAAUCUAAGGGCUUUAUUGAUCCAUAUUUUCCUAACUAUGUCUACAAACUCAGAAAAGAUCUGUAUGGCCUCAACAAGCUCAUAGAGCUUGGCAUGAGAGACUCACAUAAUUUCUUACUAAAAACUUUUAUGUUCGUGGAGGAAUUGACAAGACUUUAUUUGUGAAGAAUGGUGGAAUUUUUUAUAACUUAGAUAUAUGUUGAUAAUUGUGUUUGGAGGGACGUCAAACUAGAUGUGGUCCAUUUUGUUCAACAAAUACACAAAAUUUGAAAUGAUCAUGGUUGGUGAGCUUACCUAUUUUUUUUAGAUUCUAGAUGAAACAAAUUGAAGAUGAUAUUUUUAUUUCCCAAAUUAAAUAUGCCAAGAACAUUUGGAAGAAAUUUGGGGUAAAGAAUGCUCUCCUCAAAUGAAAACUUGGUCCCACUCAUGUUAAUUUGUCAAAGGAUAAAUAAGACGACCAAAGUCUUUACAGGAGUAUGAUUGGUAUUCUUGUGUAUUCCACAACAAGUCACCUUAAUAUUAACUUCGUAGUGUGAGUAUGUACUCGGUGUCAAGCCAAACCAAUGGUUAUCCAUCUCACUCAAGUCAAAUGGAUUAUCAAAUGCAUAAAUGGAACAUCUGACUAUGACAUUUGUACUUAUUUGAUAGAAACACCUCACUGGUAGUUAUUGUGAUGCUGAUUGGACCAAGAAUGUUGGAGAUAGGAAAAUCACAUUGGAGGACAUUUCUUUAUGGGAAACAAUUUAAUUCCUUAGUUUAGUAAAAAGCAAAAUUGUGUUUCUUUUUCAACUGCAGAAUGAGAGUAUAUUGUUGUUGUAAGUUGUUGGUCUCUAAAAUUCUAAAUAAAAUAGAUGCUUCAAGAGUUUGAUGUUACAAAAGAUGUCAUGGAAUUGUAUUGCGACAACAUAAGUGUUAUCUAAGAAUCAUUGCCAACACAUUAGAAUCAAACAUAUUAAUAUACAUCAUCAUUUCAUCAAGAACUUGUUGAAGAUAAGAAGAUCACACGAUGACAUUUUAAAUACAUACUAAAUUACAGAGGCGGAAUAAAUACUUACAAUCAUACAUUUCAUUUAUUUAUAAAAGUAAGUUAUUAUAAUUAUAAUUAUGCAAUGAGAUUGUUGUUUGCUAUAUCUUCUAUAAGAAAACAAAGGUAAAAAUAUUUGCAGGGGUGUUCAUGGAUGCGGGUCGAUCCACGAACCCGCUGACCCAACCCAACCCAACCCAUAAAUUACCUGAACCCAUUCAUUUACGGGUAUACUCAAUACAACCCAUAACAACCCGUAUAAUUUUGGUUCGGGUAUCGGGUUUGAGCUUUGCAACCCGUGGAUCCGUUGACCCAACUCAUUGAUGUGCCUUUAGUAAUUUCUUAUUAUUUUAAUUAUUAUUUUAAAUGAAAAUAUAAAAUUUAUAUCUCACUAAUAACCAUAAUUUUUCCAAAAAAAAUUAUUCUCCACCAAUACUACUACUAGACCAAUGAGUUUAUGUAAUUCUAAGAUUAAAUGUUUUUUUUUAUCAUUUCUAACUUAUGUAUUUUAUGGAAAUAAUGUGUCUUGUUGAAUAUUAUACUAUUCUAAAGUAUUAUGUCGUGUCGAUGAAUUUCAUUAGAUAUUCUAUGAUAUAUUUUAUUGAAUUUGAGUGUUAUAAAUGAGUAUGAUUGUAUUGAGUUGUGUUACAUUUUUUUAAAAAUCGACAAAAAGAAUCAUAAAAAAUAUAUUUUGUAUUUGAAACACAACCCGCGAACCCAACUCAACUCAAUCCAUUAAUGAACGGGUCAGUCCGGACCGGUUUUGACAAUGAAAUUACGGAUUGGACAAUGGACUCAACCCAUUGUAGUUUGAACGGGUUGGAUAGCGCGUUAGGUCAAACCCGAUCCAACCUAACCCGCGUGCACCCCUAUUGCACAUACUUAUCAUCUUUGUCCUAAAAAGUGAAUGCCACAUCAACAUAAAUUAAUUUUAAGUUUCAAUAAAUAUAAGAAAAAUAAAUAUACACCGGUAAUAUAAAUAUUUUAAAAGUUAUCAUUUCCAUAUCUGAAAGACACAAAAUUUAUCAAUGCACUUCAAAAUCGGAGGUAAAUAGUAAUCAAGACAAUCAUCAUCAACAACACAGGGAGUGCCAGCUGCGUUGUAGAAAAUAAGAAGAAGAAAAUUGUUAUUAAAAGGUGAUAAAAUAUUAAGUAAACAUAAAUUUGAAAAUUGUAGAAAUGACAUACUCCUACUGGUUACAACAAGAAAUAGCGAAAGAAGGAUGACCAAAACAUAAAUAAACAUGAGAUUUUGCACCAUAUUUUUCUCCUUUGUAGGAAUUAAAAUAAAAAAAAUUAGAUAGCUUUAUAAGUAAAAAAAAUUCAUGUUUUUAUAAAUUCAAUUAUUAUUUUUAGCACUUAGAAAUUGCAAGAAGUUUUUUAAUAAAAUUAUAAUUAUU
This 2824-nucleotide long non-coding RNA is filed under the name Lathyrus oleraceus (garden pea). RNAcentral describes it as "Pisum sativum (pea) long non-coding RNA (PSAT_LNC042321)". The record is from RNAcentral. Lineage: Eukaryota; Viridiplantae; Streptophyta; Magnoliopsida; Fabales; Fabaceae.